GUUUUCUCCUCGCUGGGGCAGAGAGAGAGAGAGAGGGCUGUGUCUGUCAUCUCCCGGAGAUACAACACUAAAUAAAGCGGUGCAUGCCGGGAUACUGAGGAAAACACGCGCACGCACUUCUGAGGGCCUCUGGUGCAGGGUGUCUGGCUAAAAGCCCAGAAUUUGGAAAGGAGAGAGAAAUGAGUAAGAGAGAGAAAAAGAGGUGGUUGAGGGCACAACCAUCUCUUUUCCCAUCAGCGGUAGCCAUAAAAAUUCAGAAAGAGGAAGGAGGACUCCCCAAAUAAAACAUGAAGACCACAGUGAACGUCCAUCCAGAGGAAAUCGGUUUAGUGUUUCAAAAAACACUGAAUCAUACGAGUGAAAUCUUGUGCGACUGACAUCUCUUCUCUUCUCUGAUGACGUUUACUGGCGUGAGGGCGGACAAUCUGUCACUAACAUGAGAUCACAGCAAUAGCAAACCAUCCAAUGAUCCAAUGUCAAAAACAUUCAGAAAUGGCAUUUCUGUGUGCUGAUCAGAGAUGUGGUUAAUUCUGUGGCUUGAUUUGGUACUAUUUUUGUUGGCAAAGCAAAACAAAGUAGCUGGCAAUAUUAUGCCUAAAAAUAAAAAAGUUCUUCAAUAUUAAUGCUUUAUCACAGCAUGAUGAUUUGAACAACAGCACUCUUGUAAUACGGCUAGUAACAUCUAGGAGCAACAUUUUAGGAGCAGUCGUGAAGGGUUUGGGAUGCUUGUUUUCUCAAUUCACAAGCAAACAUGCAAGAACACAAAACCAAAGUCAGCAAUUUCCUUUUACAGACAGAAAGUGUCAUAAAUGUGUGAGUAUGAUUUACUGCUCACUCACCGGGUACAUUCUAAAACGAGAAAUCGCACAUUACGAGUGUAACCAUGAGGAAACACAGUGCUCUGUGAAACAGUGCCCCUAUGCACACCGUACCUGUAAAAAACAACAAGCCUAACAGUGUUUAAGUGUGUGCCAGGCCAGAAAUGAGGUCAGGUGUGGUUUACAGUAGAUUCAGUAGGAGCAGGUUGUGAGGAGGAAUGAGCUUGAACUCAGCAGAAUAGAGUAUGUGUGAACAGGUCCUGUUUGGCUGAUCUGGAUUGGGUGGUGUUCAGGUUUUGGGUUCAGUGCUGGUAAAAAGCUCAGAAACUCAAUCCCACAGAUGCUGAUCGGACGAUGGCAAAUAAACCGACUCUUUAUUGCCCUCAUUCUGACAUGCUGCCAAAACCAACUAUUUUCAGGUAGUAAUAGUCUUACAGUUAUUAUAUUGGAGCUGGCAAGGCCGAUCUCUCCCCAAAAACGUAAAGCUAAUUUAAUUUUCCAAAAGUCUUUUCCCCUUCAUUUAAAAAAGGGAAGUCGUAAUCACUCUGAGAUCGAAUUGAAAGUGUCAUUUAUUUGAUUAGUUCAAAGCUAGCAAGCCUGCCAAUGUAUUCACAGCCACUGAAUAAAAUUACUGAUUUCAGCAAACUGUGGUCCACAAUGAAGUUUCUCAGCCCUCAUUACUGUAGAGUUUGAAAUUGAGAUCCCCAGUUUUUCAAAUGCACCAUAAAAUAACUGACUGCUUAAUAUUGUUUGCUUGCCAAGAGUGAAAUUACUUUCAGAGCCAAAAUGGAGCAUUUGUUUUUCAAAUGAUGGUAAUAGGCAAACACAAAAUCCAUGUGCACCAUUCAAACCUACUCUAUAAAAACA
Molecule: long non-coding RNA, 1685 nt
Organism: Megalobrama amblycephala (Wuchang bream)
Lineage: Eukaryota; Metazoa; Chordata; Actinopteri; Cypriniformes; Xenocyprididae
Exons: 4
Source: RefSeq, a predicted model, not a curated record